GUAAGCAUAUCAAUAAGCGGAGGAAAAGAAACCAACAGGGAUUGCCCUAGUAACGGCGAGUGAAGCGGCAACAGCUCAAAUUUGAAAUCUGGCGCAAGCCCGAGUUGUAAUUUGUAGAGGAUGCUUCUGGGUAGCGACCGAUCUAAGUUCCUUGGAACAGGACGUCAUAGAGGGUGAGAAUCCCGUAUGUGACCGGCCCGCGCCCUUUACGUAGCUCCUUCGACGAGUCGAGUUGUUUGGGAAUGCAGCUCUAAAUGGGAGGUAAAUUUCUUCUAAAGCUAAAUACCGGCCAGAGACCGAUAGCGCACAAGUAGAGUGAUCGAAAGAUGAAAAGUACUUUGGAAAGAGAGUUAAACAGCACGUGAAAUUGUUGAAAGGGAAGCGCCUGCAACCAGACUUCGCGGCAGUGUUCCGCCGGUCUUCUGACCGGUUCAUUCUCUGUCGCGAGGCCAUCAUCGUCUGGGCCCGCCGGAUAAGACCUUAGGAAUGUAGCUCACCUUCGGGGGAGUGUUAUAGCCUAGGGUGAUGCGGCGAGGCUCGGGCGAGGUCCGCGCUUCGGCAAGGAUGAUGGCGUAAUGGUUGUCGGCGGCCCGUCUUGAAACACGGACCAAGGAGUCUAACAUCUAUGCGAGUGUUCGGGUGUCAAACCCCUACGCGUAAUGAAAGUGAACGGAGGUGGGAACCGCAAGGUGCACCAUCGACCGAUCCUGAUGUCCUCGGAUGGAUUUGAGUAAGAGCAUAGCUGUUGGGACCCGAAAGAUGGUGAACUAUGCCUGAAUAGGGUGAAGCCAGAGGAAACUCUGGUGGAGGCUCGCAGCGGUUCUGACGUGCAAAUCGAUCGUCAAAUUUGGGUAUAGGGGCGAAAGACUAAUCGAACCAUCUAGUAGCUGGUUCCUGCCGAA
Molecule: ribosomal RNA, 902 nt
Filed under: Septoria pseudonapelli
Lineage: Eukaryota; Fungi; Ascomycota; Dothideomycetes; Mycosphaerellales; Mycosphaerellaceae
Description: LSU rRNA
Rfam family: Eukaryotic large subunit ribosomal RNA
Source: RNAcentral